Molecule: ribosomal RNA, 500 nt
Filed under: uncultured bacterium
Lineage: Bacteria
Description: partial 16S ribosomal RNA
Rfam family: Bacterial small subunit ribosomal RNA
Source: RNAcentral
AUUGAACGCUGGCGGAAUGCUUUACACAUGCAAGUCGAGCGGCAGCACGGACUUCGGUCUGGUGGCGAGUGGCGAACGGGUGAGUAAUAUAUCGGAACGUGCCCAGUCGUGGGGGAUAACGUAGUGAAAAUUACGCUAAUACCGCAUACGAUCUAUGGAUGAAAGCGGGGGAUCGCAAGACCUCGCGCGAUUGGAGCGGCCGAUAUCAGAUUAGGUAGUUGGUGAGGUAAAGGCUCACCAAGCCAACGAUCUGUAGCUGGUCUGAGAGGACGACCAGCCACACUGGAACUGAGACACGGUCCAGACUCCUACGGGAGGCAGCGGUGGGGAAUUUUGGACAAUGGACGCAAGUCUGAUUCAGCCAUUCCGCGUGCAGGACGAAGGCCUUCGGGUUGUAAACUGCUUUUGUACAGAACGAAAAGGUUUCUAUUAAUACUAGGGGCUCAUGACGGUACUGUAAGAAUAAGCACCGGCUAACUACGUGCCAGCCGCCGCCGUAA